Molecule: long non-coding RNA, 335 nt
Organism: Molossus molossus (Pallas's mastiff bat)
Lineage: Eukaryota; Metazoa; Chordata; Mammalia; Chiroptera; Molossidae
Exons: 4
Source: RefSeq, a predicted model, not a curated record
GUCUCCACACAGUUCCAGUCUAGUCUGGCUUCCCUCUGCUGGAGCCCAAGGACACAAAUCUGUAGCAACAGGACAAAUCGGUGAAAUUGCCUAUUUUAUGGCUUCUCAUACAGCAGAUGGCACGUCUGAGCAUCUGGUACACCCUGCCUUCCUGAAGUGAGGCAGCUGCAAGCAACUGGCAGGAAUCAGUGUCCCUGGCAACCGCCCAUUAAUCAAGCUCUGGAUAAAAAAGCCUCUUAGGAGUCAUCUGAAAAAUUCUGAUUGCAAAUGGAACGUGUGGAGCAAUCUUUACUGAAAGAACCUGAGGCAGUAAAUGGAUAUGAAUCAGAAGGAGG